Cynocephalus volans (Philippine flying lemur) is the source of this 104-nucleotide small nuclear RNA. The record is from RefSeq and is a predicted model, not a curated record. Lineage: Eukaryota; Metazoa; Chordata; Mammalia; Dermoptera; Cynocephalidae.
AUGCUUGCUUCGGCAGCACAUAUACUAAAAUUGCAACAAUAUACAGAUUAGCAUGGCCCCUCUGUAAGGAUGACACGCAAAUUCAUGAAGCAUUCCAUAUUUUU